GAUGAACGCUGGCGGCGUGCCUAAUACAUGCAAGUCGAGCGCGACUGAUUACACCGUUCUUCGGAACACCGUAAUCAUCGCGCGGCGGACGGGUGAGUAACACGUGGGCAACCUACCCUUAAGACUGGGAUAACCGCGGGAAACCGUGGCUAAUACCGGAUAAUACUUUUAUACAACGGUAUAUAAGUUGAAAGGUGGAUUUCUAUCACUUAUGCAUGUGCCUGCGGCGCAUUAGCUGGUUGGUAAGGUAACGGCUUACCAAGGCGACGAUGCGUAGCCGACCUGAGAGGGUGAUCGGCCACACUGGAACUGAGACACGGUCCAGACUCCUACGGGAGGCAGCAGUAGGGAAUCUUCCGCAAUGGGCGAAAGCCUGACGGAGCAACGCCGCGUGUGCGAAGAAGGUCUUCGGAUCGUAAAGCACUGUUGUUAAGGAAGAACGACAGUAAGAGUAACUGUUUACUGUGUGACGGUACUUAACCAGAAAGCCACGGCUAACUACGUG
RNAcentral lists this ribosomal RNA (505 nucleotides) under uncultured bacterium. RNAcentral's name for it is "partial 16S ribosomal RNA". It matches the Rfam family "Bacterial small subunit ribosomal RNA", at positions 28 to 507 of the family's 1533-position model. The record is from RNAcentral.